CCCAAGUGCUACUCCUAUAGAGAAGCCUGGAUGUUGUAACCAUAAUUUCCUUUUUUUUUUUUUCUGUUUGAUUUCUAUAUGAAAUUGUGACUGAGUAAUGAACUUUAGAACCACAUAAAUCUGUUUAAGGGAGAAGCAGAAGAAUGACAGAAUUUCUCUUUCUAAACAUCUGAGUCUAGCUUUCUGCUCAGGUAAAGCCUUACACCAGUGACAACACAUCCUGUGACCACAGUGUGACUCUGCUGGGCGUCCUCAGCAGUAACCCAAGGGUGUCACUGAGGAACGGAGGCCACUUCCUGCCAAACAAACACCACACGCCGCUCGCUGGCUGCGGAGGCCACUGAUGGGGCACCAGUAACGAAUGAAUGUUAGCUCAGAGGAGGCAGUGACUGGAACAUCUGAGAUCUGUUACCGCACGAAGGAGUACCAUCUCUUUCGACGGACCCACACAACGGUUCUCACAACCCUCCUCAAGAGCCACCCUGUCCCUCCACAUACUGAAGGCACACACGCUUCUGCUUCUGAACUAACCUGAAAGUCUGCAUCCCGGUCUGCAAACAAGGUCACGAAGAGAUCAAAGCCACAGAGCCCGCCUAAUCGCCCUGAGUCUUUUCACUGAGAAUGAGCUAAAAUAAAGUCCUGGUGAUCUAUGGAGUAAGAGCUUUAUGCAGACCCUGCUGGACGGCUAGGAUGCCUGAGCUGCUAAUAAAA
This is a long non-coding RNA of Lagenorhynchus albirostris (white-beaked dolphin), 711 nucleotides long. RefSeq lists it as uncharacterized. The transcript is spliced from 3 exons. Lineage: Eukaryota; Metazoa; Chordata; Mammalia; Artiodactyla; Delphinidae. The record is from RefSeq and is a predicted model, not a curated record.